AUGUUAUGGAUCCAAUUUUCCCUACCUAGAAAGCAAUCUCGUCAGAAAGGAAGGGGAACCCCAUCACUUGAGGCCCUCGCCCCCGAACUCGACAUCUUCCUCCUCCCUGCGCCGAUCCGACGACCCGCACGUAGCUGCCGCUACCGACUACCAUCCCCGACGAUUUCGUCGUGAUCUCCCCAUGGGCCUGAUAGCUGGCGGAGAGAAUAGGCAUCACCCACGUCCCUCAUCCUCCACCACUUCCCAUCCUCACAAUUCGGAACACCGAUAGCCAUGUCCGGCACUACGACAACGAUGACCAUGGGCACGCCAGCGUGGGACGGCGGAUGCUGGCCAAUGUCUUCAGGUUCGUGGCCUGGCUUCUCCUGCACGGCGGCUCACGCGCAUGUACCUUGCGGGCGGUGUAUUCAGCGACCAUGCUCAUGUCGAUGCACAGAUCGUGGAUCGAGUGCGGAUCCACCCGGGCUGUGGAAUUUGUUUCUUUUCUUGGGUGAGAAAUGCAACAGUUAAAAUCCAUGGAUUUUGAAGAUGGGUGAAUAUCAAUACCACCGAUAUCUUGAGGGAUCACACUCAUAUUCCAGUACUCAGAUUUUGCAUAACCAUCUUUCUCUUCUGCAAAAAUAAUCACAAUCGUUAAAAAUAGCAUACUUUUAUGUAAGCCCAAACUUAAGUCCACUAUCUUACCAAAAAUUACAAGUAUUAUUAAGUUGUACUUUUCAUGUUAAAGACUAACAAUUGUUUAUCAACCAGAUGACAGCAAUGAGAUACAGUUAAGCGCCAUUUGAAGAAAAACUGGCAGGUUGAGUGACAGCAACAAGGCUCUACGCGCUCACUUGACAAGACAAUCAGAGUAUCAAAAUGCUGCCGACAUGCUGUUCUCAAUUGUCUACUAACUACUAUGUUUGAAUCUGAUAUAUUCUUUCUAAUUAGGUAUGGGACCUUAGAAUUCUCGAGUUUACUCAAUCACUAUCUGAGCAUAAAGUUGCUGUUACCUAUAUGCUUUGUUGGGAUCAGAAAUUACUAACUGUAAAUGCCUGGUCUGCUCGAGUCUAGAAACAUUUAAGUUAUGCAUACCCAUUCCGAAGAGCAUGUAAGUUAAGCACACUUUCUUAUGCAUUAUUCCAGCAUCGUUAUUUUCUCAAAACUUCAUUCAGGUUUCAAACACAGAAGCUUAUAUUAACCUUUUGUUUUUGUUUUUACGGUAACUAGGAUUAUACUAUCCUUAUUUAGUUUGAUUGAACACUACAAAGUACAAACAGUUAGCGUCGAAUAAUUAUGUCAUGUUUAUAUCUUCAGGUGUGCUAAUAAAUGAUAUUUGUGCUAAUUUUGUUCUAGGUUAGGUAAAUAUUUUGGUGUAAAUAUGAGUACCGGUGGCUAAUGUUUAGCCAAGUAAUAUGCACGAUCAUGUGUUAGAUUGAAUUGGGUUUACUACAUUUCAUUUAAUUUUCUUGAUGUGUGUUACUGGAUUGAGUAGCCCCUGUCUUCAUGCCGCUAUGUAUCAGCAGCGAUGGUGUGGUCGAGAAGUCCUCAUGCCGCUGAAACAACAUAAUAAUCUGUUAUGCAGAAUUCUAAAUAUUUUUCUCGAUAUUUUUGUUCAGUAUUCUAGCAAGCGCCCUGCAUAUAUUUCAAAGUUACCUACCAUUUUUUAUUUUAUUAAUACCUCCCUCGGAACAGGUUCACAGGUCUACUUUUAUAAGCUCUGUUAAGCCUUUUACCUAUGACAUUAGUGGCCUUGAGAAGGAAGCACUUUUUAUGUUAUGCUUUUUGGAUGCUCACUGCUAGAUGAAGAACAAUUUUUUUUGUUUUAUUAUAACAAAAUUAUAUCAUGUACCGAGUUUUGCCUAUUUUGUAGUUGCUGAGGUGAGUGGAUGUUUCAUGCCAUUAGUAAUGGCCGAGAUAACAUAAUUUUUCCAAGUAAAAGCUAACUAUGCAAAGCUCUAGAUGUCCUCAAGUACCGAACUUCUUUCACUAGAUGAAUUAGUAGCUUCAAAAAAUAUGUAUGUUUAACUUCAUUGCAAGUACUCAAUUAGAGCAUGAUUUUUUCUUAACGAGAAUGACGGAGUAAUUGUUUGUUCACUUGAACUCAUGAGACUAUACCUUUUGAGAAUAUACCAUUCUAUUGGCCUGAUGCUAAAAAUGCUUUGAAAAUCAGCGAGAGCUACGAAAUAAAAUAUAUAUAGAAUUUCGAUCAAUAUUGAAUGGUGAAACAACCACAUGUUACCGCUAUGGAAGUACAUAUUUCUAUCUUUUUUCCUCUGAAUGUCUUCCUUGUUAUCCAUAUUGAGCGAGGUUGUUUCUUACUUGUGUUAUGUUCACAUGUAAGAGUGGAUUCACUAUGUUCACUUAUAUUUUGUUCAUAUGCGAAUAAAUUAACUUUAGGACCUUAGCAACGCACGGGCAUUCAACUAGUCUUCUUUACUAUUAUAUUGGAGUUGGUGGUCAUACAACGCGUUUGAUGAAGGAGAUUGAGACCAUCCUAUCCAUCCAAUUAUUUUCAACAUCCCCGUUUCAACUAUGAAUCACCGUUGGAUCAAAGCAAAUCAUUGCUUUCCUUCCUUUACUACCCAGCUCGCUAAUUGCCAUAUCAAAACAUAUCACUGCUUUCCUUAAUCUGUUACUACUCUAUAAAAUCGUUAUUUCCUUCCUUCUUUUCCUCAACAAGCUAGGAAAGUGAUUAUAUCUCCGGUAAUGCUGAGUUUAAUUUGUUACGGAAAGAAUCUUACGGACAUGCGGGGCAGGGACGAGUUUGCCUGUGCCGCGGUUGUGCACCCAUCCGUGCGCCGCGGCCCUUUCGUAAGCAUCGCACGGUUCUGCUUCCUUCCCUUAUCAUGCCUUCCUUUUCCGAUUAAAACAAAUUGUAAAUACCAUCCUAAUACAUGUCUCCUCCAUAGAAGGCGCUACGACGGCCCGCGACAUCUCCCCGCGAUGCCGAGGAUAAUGGCGGCCAGCGACGUCUCUCCACUGGCAAGCAGCUAGGGAUCGUUCGAUGCUAGACCUCGCGGGCCGUCGAGGUGUCAAGGAGCCGAUCGCUCGCCCGUUCCCAUCCUACUCGCUCGUCGUUGGCAGGAACCCGACCCGGCCUCCGGUGACAUGAGGUCCAUCCAGUCCAGGACGCCGCCGAGGCGCCGACUCGCUCCUGCUGAUCAACCUCGUCAGUCUGAUCAUCAAUGUCAACGCCAGCAUAGUGCGGUAUUUUGCACUACCCCAUUCGCGUUCUGGCCGGUUUUAUUUCUCGAGCUGAUGAUCCAUUCAUAGGACCAUGAUCAUGUAAGUAUAUGAGUAUAUCUCAUGCGUGCGGCCGGCCUAUGUCAGGGACAAGGUAACGAUAUUGCUUAUGUGCUCAUUCAUAUCAUCGCUUGAGCGCACUAAACGGCCGUGCAGUGGGCGACAUGGUGGACACUCCAGCCAGGCUGAUCGGCCGCCCCGUUGGCAUGAACAUCUCGGCGACAUUCGCCGUCAGUGUGCAGUAAUUUACUGGCAACACUAAUAUAUGAAUGUCCGUCCUGUUCGGCCAGAUCAAGUAAGUUGGCGAGGUGGCCAGCCAAGAUCUGCUGGAAGAAAAACUCCCACGAUGUCCAGCCAUCAGCGACUCCUUCCUGCCGCUCCACGUUCCGCCUCCUCCAAUUAGAAGGGUACCUGCCUUGUUUCGUUCCCCUCCACCCCAUCUGCCAGCAUGUAGGCAGAGCCUCAAGAGGAGUGGACUGCGAGUGUGCUUGUGAUGUCAUCGCUUGUGGUCGUGCUGGUGGCCGUCGCGGUCAUGGUGGUGUCAUAGAUGCGCAGCCGAGCGGAGGGAGGAGGUUCGAGAUCAUCCUAGUUGUUGGGCCUUCAGCGCCAAGGGAUUGGAGGCCGAGGAGGAUCUGCCCGUCUUGCUCAUUCUCUCCUUGCCUUCUUGGCAGCGCCAUGCACCAGGGUUGAGGUUGGGGUUGGUGUUCCACCGGCGGAGGUAGGGAAUAGAGCAUCGAAGGCCGACAUAGGGACUAGCGGUGGUCGCAGGUCGGGCUCCUCCGCGCUGGAGUCUUUGUGGUGAUGGGGGGCGCUCGGGGAUGCCGGGAGCCGGCAGCUUUCGGAGCUAGCGAUGUGUGUAGGCUGUAGCCGGCAGAUCGAGCGGCGCGUGCUCUGUGUAUAUAAGGUUUUCCGUGUAUAUCACGAUCACUAUCACACAGCUCACAAGCUACUGGGAUGUGAUUUUCCUCUAGCAGUGGCAGAUAAAGCAAUUUUCGGCAAUGAACUAUAUCACCAACAUGAGUGGUAAUUUAGUAUAUCUUUGCAGGAUUCGGCAUUCUUCUGGAUCCAAAUUUGUGUCCUUGAUCGAACUUCAUGGUUUUUAGUUUUACAAAUUAUAUUGUUUUUUGACAUCUACUAUUGCUUAUUGACAGCUAUGUAUGCAUUUUUGCAAAGCAACGCAAGCAUAGGAAAUGUCACCUCAAGAAUUGAAAAGGUGCAGAUAAGACCCGAAGCAUGUGAGUAUCUUUUGACUCAUUAGUUUUUCUCUCCUUAUUUAAUUCUGUAUUGGUACCUAACUUUAAUCCAAAGCUAUUGUUUAUUAAUCUUGAAUCGUGUAUGCAAUAAAACUGUGUAACCUGGAAAUAUAUCUGUGGAUUAUAUUUGGUGACAUACUAACUUAAAACUGUGUUGAUAUUGUAAAUCUUCCAAGUAUGCAUACA
Molecule: long non-coding RNA, 4664 nt
Organism: Lolium perenne
Lineage: Eukaryota; Viridiplantae; Streptophyta; Magnoliopsida; Poales; Poaceae
Source: RefSeq, a predicted model, not a curated record